Capsella rubella is the source of this 496-nucleotide long non-coding RNA. RefSeq lists it as uncharacterized. Lineage: Eukaryota; Viridiplantae; Streptophyta; Magnoliopsida; Brassicales; Brassicaceae. The transcript is spliced from 3 exons. The record is from RefSeq and is a predicted model, not a curated record.
UUUGCAAUCUGCAUGCUCUUUUAAUUCGACUAAAUUGCUAAUUAAGAUCCCUCUUAGGGAAUUUUUUGCCAAAGAUUUUAAGUUACUUUUAAAGAAAAUAGAAAAAAGCUUCGACCAAUUGGAAAAACCAUGACAGGAGGAAGAAAUAUAUUUAAGGGACAAGGAAGCAAACCAGUUGCAACUAAAGAUGAUGCACAUGCAUAUCUUAGGGCAGUGAGGGAUCAUUUUCAUAAUGAUCGUAAAAAAUAUGAUGACUUUAUUGCACUCUUGACUAAGUUUAAAGCUCGCAAAAUUGAUAGGGCUGAUUGCGUAAUAGGAGUGCGGGAUCUGCUUCAAGGCCAACCAGACUUGGUUUCGGGUUUCAAUAAUUUUUUACCAGAGUGGUGUGAGAUCUAAUUAGAUUUCUCAAAAAAUCGAAUAAUUGAUUUGUGAUUUGUGCUGUCUUACUUUGUUUUAAGAAUCGUUAUUUAAAUAAAAAUAAUUUCUUAUAUAAAUA